CCCUUAGAUGUCCGGGGCUGCACGCGCGCUACACUGAAGGAAUCAGCGUGCUAAAACCAUUGUCGAAAGGCAUUGGUAAACCCAUUAAAAUCCUACGUGAUUGGGAUCGGGAAUUGCAAUUAUUUCCCUUGAACGAGGAAUUCCCAGUAAGUGUGGGUCAUAAGCUCGCGUUGAUUACGUCCCUGCCCUUUGUACACACCGCCCGUCGCUGCCCGGGACUGAGCCGUUUCGAGAAAAGCGGGGACUGCUGCUGUCGGGGCUUUCGGGCCUUGGCUUCGGUGGAAACCGCUUUAAUCGCANUNGCUUGANCCGGGCAAAANUCGUANCG
This 328-nucleotide ribosomal RNA is filed under the name uncultured eukaryote. RNAcentral's name for it is "partial 18S ribosomal RNA". It matches the Rfam family "Eukaryotic small subunit ribosomal RNA", at positions 1470 to 1796 of the family's 1831-position model. The record is from RNAcentral.